ACAUGUGAAUCCCUGCUUGCAAUUCAGCCACUUCCAUUGUAACUCAAGGCAUAUUGUCAAAUAGGGGAGGGGAUGGAUGGCUUUCCGGGGUUAGAAGACGGAAGAUGGUUCUAGAAGCCUGACAUGCAAAGAAGCAUCCAGAGAUAUUUAACCGGGAGAAUCGCAGGAAGCACCACGACACAUGUGGGUUCCCCAACCAGGAUCAAACCCACACCCCUCAGAGUGGAAGCAUGGAGUCUUAACCACUGGACCACCAGGGAAGUCCCCGUUUUCCUGUUCAGAUUUUUAACUGCAGUAUUUAUGAGGCUUCUGUCUGACAGCCUGGGGUUUUAAACCUUAUUUCAACCUAUUGUUCACCUGGCAGAAUUUGCUGGAGCUCAGGCAGGAGGAGAGUGAGGAAGGAUUGUCUGAGAUCCUGAGGAACUAGCUUUUCUGGCCUUUGAGGAAGGAAUGAGAAGUACUCUUGGACCACUCUUUGACAAAGCUCCCACAUACAACAUCUUUGAGCCUGUGGCUCAGGAGAAAAGAGCAGGGGAAACUAUUCAGGAGAGAAAUGAUUUUACAUAAAAGUCAUGUCUGGCAACUAUCACAGUGUGCAGGAAAGAAAUAAAUACUUCUUAAAACAGAAGGUGAAGGCACAUGUCUCUGGAAAUUUAGAAAUGUUCCUAAGAGUGAUCUAGAUGAAGGAUCUAUGGGAGGAGACAUAAGAACACUCUGGACAGAAUCAUUCAUGCUGAAUGUGAGCUCAGAAACCUGAGCUGAGGUCAUACUGCACGCUCGGGAAACCGCCGAAGAAGCCCAUUGGAUCACAGCUACCAGCCUACACUUGUUGCCCCAAGAUCGAUACCAGUAUCCCUGUAGGUAGUCACCUUAUAGCUUGGUGAUUGCAUUUAAAGUUUAAUAAGCCAGUAAUCAAUGAUUUUUAUGGUUUAUUAUUUUCAUAUGAAA
Hippopotamus amphibius kiboko is the source of this 948-nucleotide long non-coding RNA. RefSeq lists it as uncharacterized. The record is from RefSeq and is a predicted model, not a curated record. NCBI's taxonomy places the organism in Eukaryota, Metazoa, Chordata, Mammalia, Artiodactyla, Hippopotamidae. The transcript is spliced from 3 exons.